CAUUACACAAUAACAUAUGAAGGCUGUACGCCGCUGCGCCCCCGGGCCAGUUGGCUGAGGCUGGAUUAUUUAUUACCCUUGUCUUUUGCGCACUUGUUGUUUCCUGGGCGGGUUCGCCCGCCUCCAGGACCACACCAUAAACCUUUUUUAUGCAGUUGCAAUCAGCGUCAGUACAACAAAUGUAAAUCAUUUACAACUUUCAACAACGGAUCUCUUGGUUCUGGCAUCGAUGAAGAACGCAGCGAAAUGCGAUACGUAGUGUGAAUUGCAGAAUUCAGUGAAUCAUCGAAUCUUUGAACGCACAUUGCGCCCUUUGGUAUUCCAAAGGGCAUGCCUGUUCGAGCGUCAUUUGUACCCUCAAGCUUUGCUUGGUGUUGGGCGUUUUUGUCUUUGGUUUGCCAAAGACUCGCCUUAAAACGAUUGGCAGCCGGCCUCCUGGUUACGCAGCGCAGCACAUUUUUGCGCUUGCAAUCAGCAAGAGGGCGGCACUCCAUCAAGACUCCUUCUCACGUUUGACCUCGGAUCAGGUAGGGAUACCCGCUGAACUUAAGCAUAUCAAUAAGCGGAGGAAAAGA
This 575-nucleotide small RNA is filed under the name Curvularia protuberata. RNAcentral's name for it is "eukaryotic LSU rRNA". The stretch from base 195 to 348 matches the Rfam family "5.8S ribosomal RNA". Lineage: Eukaryota; Fungi; Ascomycota; Dothideomycetes; Pleosporales; Pleosporaceae. The record is from RNAcentral.